GGAUCCAGACUUUGAUCCUGGCUCAGGAUGAACGCUAGCUACAGGCUUAACACAUGCAAGUCGAGGGGAAACGAUAUUGGAAGCUUGCUUCCGAUAGGCGUCGACCGGCGCACGGGUGAGUAACGCGUAUCCAACCUGCCCAUCACUUGGGGAUAACCUUGCGAAAGUAAGACUAAUACCCAAUGAUAUCUCUAGAAGACAUCUGAAAGGGAUUAAAGAUUUAUCGGUGAUGGAUGGGGAUGCGUCUGAUUAGCUUGUUGGCGGGGUAACGGCCCACCAAGGCGACGAUCAGUAGGGGUUCUGAGAGGAAGGUCCCCCACAUUGGAACUGAGACACGGUCCAAACUCCUACGGGAGGCAGCAGUGAGGAAUAUUGGUCAAUGGGCGAGAGCCUGAACCAGCCAAGUAGCGUGCAGGAUGACGGCCCUAUGGGUUGUAAACUGCUUUUAUAAGGGAAUAAAGUGAGCCUCGUGAGGCUUUUUGCAUGUACCUUAUGAAUAAGGACCGGCUAAUUCCGUGCCAGCAGCCGCGGUAAUACGGAAGGUCCGGGCGUUAUCCGGAUUUAUUGGGUUUAAAGGGAGCGUAGGCCGGAGAUUAAGCGUGUUGUGAAAUGUAGAUGCUCAACAUCUGCACUGCAGCGCGAACUGGUUUCCUUGAGUACGCACAAAGUGGGCGGAAUUCGUGGUGUAGCGGUGAAAUGCCUAGAUAUCACGAAGAACUCCGAUUGCGAAGGCAGCUCACUGGAGCGCAACUGACGCUGAAGCUCGAAAGUGCGGGUAUCGAACAGGAUUAGAUACCCUGGUAGUCCGCACGGUAAACGAUGGAUGCCCGCUGUUGGUCUGAAUAGGUCAGCGGCCAAGCGAAAGCAUUAAGCAUCCCACCUGGGGAGUACGCCGGCAACGGUGCAACUCAAAGGAAUUGACGG
Molecule: ribosomal RNA, 924 nt
Filed under: uncultured Bacteroidota bacterium
Lineage: Bacteria; Pseudomonadati; Bacteroidota
Description: bacterial SSU rRNA
Rfam family: Bacterial small subunit ribosomal RNA
Source: RNAcentral